Molecule: unclassified non-coding RNA, 439 nt
Filed under: fungal sp.
Lineage: Eukaryota; Fungi
Description: partial internal transcribed spacer region
Rfam family: Eukaryotic small subunit ribosomal RNA (bases 1-46)
Source: RNAcentral
AAGUCGUAACAAGGUUUCCGUAGGUGAACCUGCGGAAGGAUCAUUAACACGUAUCCAACGUUAAAAACCCCGUGAACCUUCAUCGCCGCUCCUCAUGGCUAAGUCUUGGAUAAAGCCAAACAGCAAUCCCUGCACUCGUCCGAGAAAAUGCAAGAGGAGGGACCUCUGUUUGACAGAGCACUAUGGGUUUAAGAGCGCUUGGUAAGGUGGCUUGUUUUUCCCCAAGCAGUCAGUGAAUGACAGUGUCGCUGAUUGUCUAAGGAUUUCGCUUUACGAUCACUGGAGGUCGAUUACCGACCGGUGGAACAAGUCACAGGGCUUCGGCUCCCUCCCCAACCCCACUUUCUAUUGCCGCUCCGCGCUAACACGCCGGGCAUUCAAAAACGUUUAAACAACUGUUAACAAUGGAUAUCUUGGUUCUCGCAUCGAUGAAGAACGC